This 843-nucleotide ribosomal RNA is filed under the name Staphylococcus aureus. Its description in RNAcentral is "partial 23S ribosomal RNA". It matches the Rfam family "Bacterial large subunit ribosomal RNA", at positions 408 to 1258 of the family's 2925-position model. Lineage: Bacteria; Bacillati; Bacillota; Bacilli; Caryophanales; Staphylococcaceae. The record is from RNAcentral.
CUGAGUACGACGGAGCACGUGAAAUUCCGUCGGAAUCUGGGAGGACCAUCUCCUAAGGCUAAAUACUCUCUAGUGACCGAUAGUGAACCAGUACCGUGAGGGAAAGGUGAAAAGCACCCCGGAAGGGGAGUGAAAUAGAACCUGAAACCGUGUGCUUACAAGUAGUCAGAGCCCGUUAAUGGGUGAUGGCGUGCCUUUUGUAGAAUGAACCGGCGAGUUACGAUUUGAUGCAAGGUUAAGCAGUAAAUGUGGAGCCGUAGCGAAAGCGAGUCUGAAUAGGGCGUUUAGUAUUUGGUCGUAGACCCGAAACCAGGUGAUCUACCCUUGGUCAGGUUGAAGUUCAGGUAACACUGAAUGGAGGACCGAACCGACUUACGUUGAAAAGUGAGCGGAUGAACUGAGGGUAGCGGAGAAAUUCCAAUCGAACCUGGAGAUAGCUGGUUCUCUCCGAAAUAGCUUUAGGGCUAGCCUCAAGUGAUGAUUAUUGGAGGUAGAGCACUGUUUGGACGAGGGGCCCCUCUCGGGUUACCGAAUUCAGACAAACUCCGAAUGCCAAUUAAUUUAACUUGGGAGUCAGAACAUGGGUGAUAAGGUCCGUGUUCGAAAGGGAAACAGCCCAGACCACCAGCUAAGGUCCCAAAAUAUAUGUUAAGUGGAAAAGGAUGUGGCGUUGCCCAGACAACUAGGAUGUUGGCUUAGAAGCAGCCAUCAUUUAAAGAGUGCGUAAUAGCUCACUAGUCGAGUGACACUGCGCCGAAAAUGUACCGGGGCUAAACAUAUUACCGAAGCUGUGGAUUGUCCUUUGGACAAUGGUAGGAGAGCGUUCUAAGGGCGUUGAAGCAU